GGAGCAGUGGUUUAAUUUGAACAACGCAAAGAACUUACCAGACCUGACAUCCAAUGAAUUCCAGAGAUGGAUUGGUGCUUGGGAACAUUGAGACAGGUCACGCAUGGUUGUCAGUUGUUCUUGAGAUGUUAGGUUAAGUCUUAUCGAGCAAAACCCUCUCCUUAGUUACAGCAGUUAUGGGGCACUUUAAGGAGACUGCCGGUGACAAACCGGAGGAAGGUGGGGAUGACGUCAAGUCAUCAUGGCCCUUAGGCUGGGCUCACACGUUACAAUGGUCGGUACAGAGGGUUGCCAAGCCGCGAGGGGAGUAAUCCCAAAAACCGAUCUAGUCC
RNAcentral lists this ribosomal RNA (332 nucleotides) under bacterium enrichment culture DGGE gel band A9. Its description in RNAcentral is "bacterial SSU rRNA". It matches the Rfam family "Bacterial small subunit ribosomal RNA", at positions 934 to 1294 of the family's 1533-position model. The record is from RNAcentral.